CAGCCGCCACGGGAAUACGUAGGUGGCAAGCGUUGUCCGGAAUUAUUGGGCGUAAAGCGAGCGCAGGCGGUUUUGUAAGACAGGCGUGAAAUCCCCGGGCUCAACCUGGGAAUGGCGCUUGUGACUGCAAAGCUAGAGUGCGGCAGAGGGGGAUGGAAUUCCGCGUGUAGCAGUGAAAUGCGUAGAUAUGCGGAGGAACACCGAUGGCGAAGGCAAUCCCCUGGGCCUGCACUGACGCUCAUGCACGAAAGCGUGGGGAGCAAACAGGAUUAGAUACCCGCGUAGUCCCUGUCUCUUAUAC
RNAcentral lists this ribosomal RNA (301 nucleotides) under uncultured bacterium. Its description in RNAcentral is "partial 16S ribosomal RNA". It matches the Rfam family "Bacterial small subunit ribosomal RNA", at positions 509 to 807 of the family's 1533-position model. The record is from RNAcentral.